RNAcentral lists this ribosomal RNA (512 nucleotides) under Oedothorax apicatus. Its description in RNAcentral is "SSU rRNA". It matches the Rfam family "Eukaryotic small subunit ribosomal RNA", at positions 395 to 910 of the family's 1831-position model. Lineage: Eukaryota; Metazoa; Arthropoda; Arachnida; Araneae; Linyphiidae. The record is from RNAcentral.
CCUGAGAAACGGCUACCACAUCCAAGGAAGGCAGCAGGCGCGCAAAUUACCCACUCCCGGAACGGGGAGGUAGUGACGAAAAAUAACGAUACGGGACUCUUUUGAGACCCCGUAAUUGGAAUGAGUACACUCUAAAUCCUUUAGCGAUUAUCAAUUGGAGGGCAAGCCAAGUGCCAGCAGCCGCGGUAACACUUGCUCCAAUAGCGUAUAUUAAAGUUGUUGCGGUUAAAAAGCUCGUAGUUGGAUCUCAGUUCUAGUCGGGCGGUCCGCCUAACGGCGGUAACUGCCCGUUCUGAACAAGCCAGCCGGUUUCCCUUGAUGAUCUUCACCGGUUGUCUCGGUUGACCGGCAAGUUUACUUUGAAUAAAUUAGAGUGCUCAAAGCAGGCGUGACGCCUGAACAAUGGUGCAUGGAAUAAUGGAAUAGGACCUCGGUUCUAUUUUGUUGGUUUUCGGAACACGAGGUAAUGAUUAAGAGGAACAGACGGGGGCAUUCGUAUUGCGACGCUAGAG